AGUGAACGCUGGCGGCGUGCCUAAUACAUGCAAGUCGAACGGAGUGGCGCACGGGUGAGUAAUGUAUAGCUAAUCUGUCCUACACUAGAGGACAACAGUUGGAAACGAAUGCUAAUACUCUAUAGUGUAGGAUGAGGCUAUAUUGUAUCAACUAGUUGGUGAGGUAAUGGCUCACCAAGGCUAUGACGGAUAACUGGUCUGAGAGGAUGAUCAGUCACGCUAGAACUGAGACACGGUCCAGACUCCUACCGGAUGCAGCAGUAUGGUAUAUUGCUCAAUGGGCAGAACCCUGAAGCAGCUACGACGCGUGGAGGAUGACACUUUUCGGAGCGUAAACUCCUUUUGUUAGGGAAGCGGUACCUAACGAAUAAGCACCGGCGAACUCCGUGCCAGCCGCCGCGGUAAUAC
RNAcentral lists this ribosomal RNA (408 nucleotides) under uncultured bacterium. Its description in RNAcentral is "partial 16S ribosomal RNA". It matches the Rfam family "Bacterial small subunit ribosomal RNA", at positions 29 to 526 of the family's 1533-position model. The record is from RNAcentral.